This is a long non-coding RNA of Tachysurus vachellii, 662 nucleotides long. RefSeq lists it as uncharacterized. The transcript has 2 exons. The record is from RefSeq and is a predicted model, not a curated record. NCBI's taxonomy places the organism in Eukaryota, Metazoa, Chordata, Actinopteri, Siluriformes, Bagridae.
GCUCGGGUUCAACCGGCCGAUGAUGGAGAAGAAAUGCGGAAGACCAGCAACACAGACGCUGACAAACGCUCACAACAGGUAAGAAUAGACACAACAACAGGACAAAACAUCAAACGAAAGACAAAGCUUGUGUGUGCGUGUGUGUGUGUGUGUGUGUGUGUGUGUGUGUGUGUGUGUGUGUGUGUGUUGCACGGACCAACGGGCAUAGGGACAGGUCACUCUGUCUCAGGAAAAGAUUACCUGCAUUUGAGAGAUUCAGACGUGCAGGCAUCCAGAGAUUGACAGCUCCACUUGUCUUCCGUGUCAUGAAGAUUUCAGACCUUCAUUAAGAUAAGGCCAAUCCUGUGAGGACCCUGAGGCAUCUAGAGAUGUACCAGCUCCAGUUUGAUUCUGCUUCAUAAAGUGUUCGGACAUUCCAAGAGAUGUGAACUCCAUGUGGCAUUGAGGACAACAACGUCCUCUCAAGGUUUCUUCCUCUACCAUAUAAGGGAGUUUUUCCUCACCACAUUCUCCUCAGACACCUCCAGCUUAUUAAUCUUGACUUUUUGUGUUAUAGUAAUCUUUAUAUUAAACUGUAUGUAUUAUGUUUAUGUUCUGUAAAGCUGUGUUGAGUCAAAGUUCAUUGUUAAAAGGGCUAUACAAAUAAAUUUGAUUGCAAUGGU